This 476-nucleotide ribosomal RNA is filed under the name uncultured bacterium. Its description in RNAcentral is "bacterial SSU rRNA". It matches the Rfam family "Bacterial small subunit ribosomal RNA", at positions 28 to 517 of the family's 1533-position model. The record is from RNAcentral.
GACGAACGCUGGCGGCAUGCCUAAUACAUGCAAGUCGAACGCGACCAGCCGGUGCUUGCACUGGCGAAGUCGAGUGGCGAACGGGUGAGUAACACGUGAGAAACCUACCCUGGAGUGGGGAAUAACUCGAAGAAAUUCGAGCUAAUACCGCAUACCUUCUUACCGUCGAAUGGUGGUUUGAAGAAAGAUUUAUCGCUCUGGGAGGGUCUCGCGGCCUAUCAGCUAGUUGGUGAGGUAACGGCUCACCAAGGCAUCGACGGGUAGCUGGUCUGAGAGGACGAUCAGCCACACUGGAACUGAGACACGGUCCAGACUCCUACGGGAGGCAGCAGUAGGGAAUCUUGCGCAAUGGGCGAAAGCCUGACGCAGCAAUGCCGCGUGCGGGACGAAGGCCCUAGGGUCGUAAACCGCUUUCAGUAGGGCGAAAAUGACGGUACCGUGCAGAAGAAGCUCGGCCAACUACGUGCCAGCAGCCG